GCCCUCUCAGGAGGGCACCUGGAGAGUUUCCAGUCCUCUACCAGUCUCAGCUACAAGAGGGACAGUCGAGCAGAGGCAUAGCCAUUUCAUUCCUCGCUUGGCCAGUGGCUAGCGAGUGGAAGAGAAUCUGCUACAAGU
Ornithorhynchus anatinus (platypus) is the source of this 138-nucleotide small nucleolar RNA. The record is from RefSeq and is a predicted model, not a curated record. Lineage: Eukaryota; Metazoa; Chordata; Mammalia; Monotremata; Ornithorhynchidae.